AAUGAACGUUGGCGGCGUGGAUUAGGCAUGCAAGUCGUGCGAGAACCGUAGCAAUACGGGGACAGCGGCGAAAGGGAGAGGAACACGUGGAUACGUACCCUUGGGUUCAGGAUAGCCAUGGGAAACUAUGGGUAAUACUAAAUAACAUCUCCGGAUCAAAGGUGAGAUUCAGCCCAGGGAGCGGUCCGCGUCCUAUUAGCUAGUUGGUGGGGUAACGGCCUACCAAGGCGAAGAUGGGUACGAGAUGCGAGAGCAUGAUCUCGCUCAUUGGGACUGAGACACUGCCCAGACACCUACGGGUGGCUGCAGUCGAGAAUCUUCGGCAAUGGGGGAAACCCUGACCGAGCGACGCCGCGUGUGAGAUGAAGGCCUUCGGGUUGUAAAUCACUGUCGUAGGGGAGGAAGUUCUGGUGGGUUCUCCCAUCAGAUUGACCUAUCCUAGGAGGAAGGACGGGCUAAGUUCGUGCCAGCCGCCGCAGUAA
RNAcentral lists this ribosomal RNA (482 nucleotides) under uncultured bacterium. RNAcentral describes it as "partial 16S ribosomal RNA". It matches the Rfam family "Bacterial small subunit ribosomal RNA", at positions 29 to 523 of the family's 1533-position model. The record is from RNAcentral.